Myodes glareolus (Bank vole) is the source of this 799-nucleotide long non-coding RNA. RefSeq lists it as uncharacterized. The record is from RefSeq and is a predicted model, not a curated record. NCBI's taxonomy places the organism in Eukaryota, Metazoa, Chordata, Mammalia, Rodentia, Cricetidae.
UAAAUAUAAAAUAGCAAGAAAAGACCUCGGGACUGGUGAGAUGGCUCAGUGGACAAAGGUAACUGACACCAAGACCGGCAAGCUGAGCUGGAUCUCUGGAACUCACAUGCCUGAAGAAGAAACACAGUGGUUGUCCUCUGACCUCCAUACAUGCAGGCCAAACUGAAGAAGACAGACACAAAAUGGAGGCAGUAAUAUCAGGUUCUCGUUCUACUUUUAUGUACCUUGUGGGUCCAGGGCAGAGGUUUUCUCCUCAAGAGAAGCUGAGUUACACAUGCUGGAGUCAGUCUGCAGUACCUGUCAAAAGAUCAACACCAGGUCCCCAGUCAGAGAGACCGUGCUGCUCUCCCUCCGUGUGGUUUUCAUCAGAGAGUGAAGGGCAGUCGGUGCCAGGGAGGAGACUGGCUGAAGAAUGGCAGCAGUGCCCAGUCUACCCUCCAGCCUGUAACUGUGAAUCCUCUAGGUCAAAUGGGCUGCAUGGAAGUCAUGCAGGCUGAAGCUGUGUGUGCUGCAGGGGACUGACCACCAUGCAGUCAGAGAACUGGCGUUACACGCAGAGGAUGUGCUCAGGAUGGAAGAAAUACAUUUUUAUCUAGGAGGCAAGCAUUUGCCCUUUGCUCUAACCACCCAAACUCCAAUAUACUCAAAGAAAGAAAACUCCCAAGCAACAGUAGGAAGGAAGAGAAACAUCAAGUCAGACUCUAGCCAUGACAUUCCCCUCACAGCAGAAACUCCAGCCACGACAAUCCCCUCAUGAUGUGGGUGCUGUGUACCCAGGCUUCCUGGGGACAAAUGUGUA